AAAUAAAAAAAAAAAAAAAAAAAAACGAUAGUCAGCUCUAUUUUCGUAUCAUUUGAUCGCGACCUUUGUGCAUUUUCUGGUCUUUUUCUUCAUCUUGACUUUUAUAGAAGAGAAUUGCGAAGGAAGG
This 127-nucleotide non-coding RNA is filed under the name Chloropicon laureae. The record is from RNAcentral. Lineage: Eukaryota; Viridiplantae; Chlorophyta; Chloropicophyceae; Chloropicales; Chloropicaceae.